CUACGCACUCCUACGGGAGGGCAGCAGUGGGGGAAUAUUGCACAAUGGGCGCAAGCCUGAUGCAGCCAUGCCGCGUGUAUGAAGAAGGCUUCGGGUUGUAAAGUACUUUCAGCAGUGAGGAAGGUGGGUAUGUUAAUAGCAUAUUCAUUUGACGUUAGCUGCAGAAGAAGCACCGGCUAACUCCGUGCCAGCAGCCGCGGUAAUACGGAGGGUGCGAGCGUUAAUCGGAAUUACUGGGCGUAAAGCGCAUGCAGGUGGUUUGUUAAGUCAGAUGUGAAAGGCCCGGGGCUCAACCUCGGAAUUGCAUUUAGAAACUGGCAAACUAGAGUACUGUAGAGGGGGUAGAAUUUCAGGUGUAGCGGUGAAAUGCGUAGAGAUCUGAAGGAAUACCGGUGGCGAAGGCGGCCCCCUGGACAGAUACUGACACUCAGAUGCGAAAGCGUGGGGAGCAAACAGGAUUAGAUACCCUGGUAG
This 474-nucleotide ribosomal RNA is filed under the name uncultured bacterium. RNAcentral describes it as "bacterial SSU rRNA". It matches the Rfam family "Bacterial small subunit ribosomal RNA", at positions 329 to 793 of the family's 1533-position model. The record is from RNAcentral.